This 494-nucleotide ribosomal RNA is filed under the name uncultured bacterium. RNAcentral describes it as "partial 16S ribosomal RNA". It matches the Rfam family "Bacterial small subunit ribosomal RNA", at positions 28 to 507 of the family's 1533-position model. The record is from RNAcentral.
GACGAACGCUGGCGGCGUGCUUAACACAUGCAAGUCGAACGGUGAAGCGCCUUCCUUUGUGGUGGGUGUGGAUGAGUGGCGAACGGAUGAGUAACACGUGAGUAACCUUCCCCCUUCUCCUGGAUAACCGCAUGAAAGUGUUGCUAAUACGGUAUUUUCGCAGUCUGUCGCAUGAUGAGUCUGGGAAAGAUAUUGUUUCGGUGCGGCAUGUGCGCGGGGCCUAUCAGCUUUGUGGUGGGGUGAUGGCCUACCAAGGCCGUGGCGGGUAGCCGGCCGGAGAGGGUGGACGCUCAGAAUGGGGAUGGGCCACGGCGGGGCUUAGUAAGGGAGGAGGCAGUGGGGGAUAGUGGAAAAUGGGAGCAAGGCUGAUGGGGCGCCGGCGCGUGGGGGAUGCAGGCCUUCGGGGUGUGAACCUCUUUCGUUAGUGAAGCAGUCCUGCAUCGUUUGUGGUUGGGUUGACGGUAGCUGGAGAAGAAGCGCCGGCUAACUACGUG